CCGGGCACCUUCUCAGCGGGGGGCACCCAGGCAGCCUGCACGCCCUGGACCAAGAAAAUUCUCCUCUUCUCAGGAAUUGCUGCCUGUCCCCAACCUGCCAGGGCCAGGGGACCCGGCAGAGAGGAACAGGCGUCGGGACCUGCAGGCCUCCCGGGUCCAGCCAGACGUCCCCACGGAGCCCGUGGAGGAGACAGCAUCCCUGUUCCCUCAGAGGGACCGCCACCUGACACAGGGCUGCGGGAUGCAGGCGCCUGAGCCAUCUCCGUGAGGCUACGGGCAGCGGCCCGGCCCC
Myotis davidii is the source of this 292-nucleotide long non-coding RNA. RefSeq lists it as uncharacterized. The record is from RefSeq and is a predicted model, not a curated record. NCBI's taxonomy places the organism in Eukaryota, Metazoa, Chordata, Mammalia, Chiroptera, Vespertilionidae. The transcript is spliced from 3 exons.